AUACGGAGGGUGCAAGCGUUAAUCGGAAUUACUGGGCGUAAAGCGCGCGUAGGCGGCUAAUUAAGUCAAAUGUGAAAUCCCCGAGCUUAACUUGGGAAUUGCAUUCGAUACUGGUUAGCUAGAGUGUGGGAGAGGAUGGUAGAAUUCCAGGUGUAGCGGUGAAAUGCGUAGAGAUCUGGAGGAAUACCGAUGGCGAAGGCAGCCAUCUGGCCUAACACUUACGCUGAGGUGCGAAAGCAUGGGGAGCAAACAGGAUUAGAAACCCCGGUAGUCC
RNAcentral lists this ribosomal RNA (274 nucleotides) under uncultured bacterium. Its description in RNAcentral is "partial 16S ribosomal RNA". It matches the Rfam family "Bacterial small subunit ribosomal RNA", at positions 523 to 796 of the family's 1533-position model. The record is from RNAcentral.